This 11098-nucleotide long non-coding RNA is filed under the name Venturia canescens. Its description in RNAcentral is "uncharacterized LOC122410131, transcript variant X1". The record is from RNAcentral. Lineage: Eukaryota; Metazoa; Arthropoda; Insecta; Hymenoptera; Ichneumonidae.
CAGUCUGUCGAUAUAAGGUGCGUAUUAAAAAACCGCGGAUAAGGAAUUAUUGAAUCGCAUAUUUUUGUAUCUUGGUUUCCUAUAGCUACAAAAAAUUAUAUUAAUAUAAUGUUCUUAUUUCAGUAUAUAUAUAAUUGGUUUCUUUCCGCAUAUAUAUAUAUAUAUAUAUCCGCUUUUAUAUAACUCAUCUAUUAUAACCGUAUAUAAGCUGGCGUUUAUACAUACGGUAUAAUCGUCGUCUACAAUAAAAAAUUGAAAAAAAAAAACGUCUAGGUCAAUGAAAAAUGCAAGGCUGAGUUUUCAACGAAAAUUCUUUAAAUAUGAUCGCACAGACAAGGGUAAAAUGGAGUAUCGUAAAAAUAUGACAACGUCGCAAUGUAUGCCGUACAAAAGAAAAGGACGAUCAAAGUGACGCGUCAAGAGCUCUCUGCCGACGCGCAAAAUGUAGGGAGGGAGUGACCGCGUUGCAAAUAACAACGCCAAUGGCUUCAGCAGAAAAAUUGGAUUUUCAUUUAUUUUGUGGCAAUAAUCAAAUAAUACCUGUAUAAUUAUUAAAAUAUGUUACGCGUUGUUGACCUCUGCUAAAUUUCAACAAUAAAUAACGACUCUAUGUUGUAUAAGAAGUGGAAAUAAUGUGGAACUACUUUUUAUCGAUCCCGCGUAGUAACACAGUAUUCUUGGAUGACGAGGGGUAUAUAAAGCCCCACCCGGUGGCUCAUGAACGGCAUUCCUCAGAGCUAUCUGAAGCGGUGAAGACUGUAUCUCGCUCAACCGUAGCUUCGUAUAUCCCUCGUUUUAGAGGAUCUACAGUCAAAGGAUUUCUUUAGUUUUUUUUUUUUUUGUAAAUUCAGUUCUCAAAUGAUCAAUUCGUAACUUGCCCGAACACGAAGUGACGGAAAAGUGUGCCUCCACAACGAAAAAAUACGAGCUAGCUACAGUCUCCGCGCCGUUUGACAUGGCAAUGAGGGUCAAUGCGACGGGGGGAGAGAAAGAGAGAGGGAGAAUGAAAGGGAGGGAGUUUGAGAGAUGGGUGGAAUAUCUCGAAGAAUGAACCAGUUUGAGUGACAUCAUGAUCAACUACCGAGAUGUCAACCCGGGCGGCUUACCAUAACUGGGAGUGACAGAAUGAGAGGCGGCUGUGCUGCGCCCCCAGUUCGCUAUCGACGAUCCUACUGUUUGUAUUGGCUUCUCAUCAUCCUAGAAAUUCCUAUUGUGAGAGUGAGAGAAUAUGGGCAUGAAACGUAAUCUUCCGAUGCUGUCUGACCGUCGUCUUCUUAUCUGGCCUGUUGCUGCCGCCUAUAUAAGUCUACAUAAAAUACCGAAAUUGAAAGUUUGAAAAACAAUAUACAAAUGCGACCUCGGUGAGGAAUUUCUUUUUUUGUUCUGAGUUCUGGGAAUACUUGAUUGCGCAACGGGGGGCAAGAGAGGGGAGGAAGGAAAUCUGUGUUUUCUAGAAGUUGGACAAAGCUUGACUCGAGGUUGGUGGCACGUUUGUUGAAGAACUGCGAAAGGGAGAGAGAGAGGGAGAGAGGGAGGGACAGACAAAAACGAAAAAAUAUAGGUUCGACGCGACGAAUUCUAACGCUGUUUCAACCGCACCCGAGCACGAAUAAACAAAGAAACGGUUAUUUGUCCUUCGCACCCACACGUUCUUCUUCAUCAUCGCACUAUACCAUGAUCGAACCGAGACGAACAAUAGAAAAAACCAAAUCAUAGAAGCGUGACAAUCACGCGAUACGGCAAAAACAAAGCUGAUUACAGCUUGGUGAGCUGAUUCCAUGUUAAUUUUGAAAAUUUCCUUUGGCCACGAAUAUCCGCCUCGUGGAAGAAAGUAGUAGUCUUUUCCCAGGUACGAAGACAAUUUGGCUCCUUGGCAUUUCAUCCAAGAAUCAUGGAGAUCUGCUUCGCAAGCCGCGCCUGUCCAAGCCGUUGAGAAAAUUUCGGGCUUUUCUCGCCCGAAUCGUCAUCAACUCAUCGGCAAUUGGGACGCGCACCCGUGGUGGUUCUACAACUGCCGAUAUCCGCCCACACAACCCGUGACAUUCGAUCAUAAACAAAAAAAAUAACAGAUAAUAUGGUUCUCAGGUAUUCAGGAAUUUAUGCAUGAAACGUUUUAUGAAAAGAGUCACGAGAAUGAACAGUCUUUUGACGAAAAAAAUUCAUUAGAAAAUUCUUCAUAUUCGCCACAAAGAAUUUGUGCUAAAUAUUGUACUUAUAUGCGUGGACACGUCUACAUUCAAGUUUAUAACAGGAUCAAUCGUCUUUCGUUUAACCUCUAAGAAAUUUAAAAAAUGAAAAAAAAAAAAAAUCCCUAUGAGGGGACGUCGCAAUAACGAUAUUUUCACAGAUCACGAAAGGGGAUGGUGGCCUGAGUUUGCACGGAGCUAUUUGGCGAUUAUCCGGGUGCCAAGAUAGAUCGAAAAAAAGAGAGAGAGAGAGAGAGAAAAAAACAAGUGUGUUGCGCGUUAGUGGUGUGUUCUAGAUCGAAGGGAGAACCGGCGAAUUUCUCACGUUCAAAAUUCAUCCUGCCAGAGGAUUGUACCGAGCGGCGGUCAGUGCACAGUCGAGCGAAUGAAUUAUAGUACGGAGGAGCACAAUUCGAGCAUAAAACACCGGAUUGGUGGAAACCAGAACAGCACCCCUUGAUGAUCUCUCUUCAGGAUGACGCAAAGUUGGAGACGCAAGACCCAACCGAUCCCGAAUCGUUACGUAAAAGCUUAAUUUAUAUCCCAUUUGACACAGUGGUAACAAUAACAACUUGGAUUUGAAAAAAGAUGGUACCGAACAUGUGGGCUGGGAAAACUGGGAAAACGCUUAUUUUUAGUCGCAGGAAGAACGGCAUUUGUUGUAAAAAACGAAAACAGAGAAGAAGAACGGGAGUAAGGGCGGACUGUGCGCAACAAAGAAUAUAAGGCAAGUCGCAUGAGAGGAUACGCGUCGAUGUGGGUUGAGAACGAUGCGAGUACACUUAGGAGCAAUCUGCGCGUCUGAAACCUCGAAGGUAUAAUUGAGGGUUCAAAAAUGAAUCGGGAGGGGGAAAUCUGGGGUCUUUGUUUUUCAUCGCCGCAGGAAUAAGUCGUACCCGUGGACUGGCGAUCUGUUCGAGCGGGUGUUAAAGAGAGAGGGUAUUUUUAUCGCUGCGUCGGAUGAUACACCUUAGAACCAUGUCCGUGAGCUGAUCAUACAUUUUUCUCGAGCAUACGCACACAUAUCAUUCGGACGAGAAGGUGAUCCGGAAAUCUGACAAGUAACUGAACAAAUUGGGUUGACCGAUAAAUUUUAAUCGCGAUGAGUAUAAAAACACCAACUGCUGACGAUAUAUUAGUGAGAAACAGUAAAAUUUUAUCUUAACAUCUAGCAACUAAGUAAAUUUCUGGGCCUCUGCAUGUCGUCUUGUUUAUGAUUCUUUUUUUUUUUGUCAUUUUCAUCUGUUGAAGUAUCGUCUGCAAUAAUCCAUCGUUGAAAUAUCUCCUAACCAUGGUGUCAUGUUAUUUGAUUGUUGACGAUGUAUUGGGGCGGGAAUUUCAACGUCGGGCAACGAAAACAAAUUUUGUUUUUUGAGCCACAGGAUCUGCGAUGCGAGCGCAUACGCGUUAAUGGCUCUGGCGCCUUAGGGCACAGACGGUGGAUAGAGAACUCCGAGCCGGAAAUGACGAAAAAUCGAGGGUAGGCGGGAGAGAGAGAGAGAGAGAGAGAGAAUAUCCCAAAAAAAUCACCAAUACGUGAGAACCAUACACGAACAUUUUCAUAUUAAUCAUUCUACAAGGAAUAUACGAGAAAAAUUACAAUUUAUGGUCGAUAUUUUGGUCACGUGCAAACAUUUUUUUUUCAUCUUAUGGCUCGAAGAUGCUUGUUACAUUAUUCUCCGAUGUCUUGUGAAAUUUAUUUCUCAGAUAUUGCGUGGCCAUUAUUAACUUUUCGAUGAGAAAUUUGUUGAUCCGAGAAAGCAAACGAGGUAACACUCUACUGAACUUUUCUUUCGUAAACAUAUACAUUUAUCUACUGAUACGAAUAUUGCGAUCGUAGAUAGAGAUAUUCAGAAUUGGCUUUCUAGUAGCGAAUUUCUAACUAUUGUUUGUAUAUUUUUUGUAUUUUAUCAGAACAAUCGUGUAGCAUCGCAUGAGUGUUCCAGUCACCAUGAUUUUAUUCGAGCUUCGUGCUUUGUCGGGGAUGCCCUUCGUUUUUUGUUUAUUUUUAGUAACUUUAAGCGAAGAUUAAUAUGAGAGAUAUAGCAACUGCGAUCGUCAAGUGACGAUCAAGGAAUGAGACAAGUAGAACGAAAAAUUACAGACCAAAGAUAUAACAGGCUGUCUCGAUAAUGGAAGAAUAACGGAAAGAAACACGAGAACUUUGGAACGUAUGAAAUUAUGUCCAAUUCUUUGGCGAAAAUAUGUCGGAUAGAUCUACCGUUUGUCAUCCAGGUAAUCGAAGAAUUUUCGCAAGCGGGUUUUAUGGGGAGGGCAUAUUAAUAAUUUUUUUUUUAGAGAGCACAAAAGAAAAUUCUAGGUUGAUGCUUUGAUGAUGAAUAGAGGCUUGAAAAGAUAAUUUUCAUCGAGUUACGAAAUUUCAAACUAUAUCGGACCCAGAGAAACAAACCGAAUGCAGUGUAUUUUAUUGAUUUACUCGAGCGAAAAGCACGCACGCUUAUUAAAAGUCUGGAAAAUGGAUUAACAGAGGUUUCUGUUGCCUGGAUUAAUAUCGAUUGCCAUUGUUGAGAACGAAACAAUAAUCACACUCCGGGCACCGUUCGCUGAAGAAAAUUCUGCGCGCUCACGUUUUGUUGAAUGAAAAAAAAACAAUACGAAUCGUCCGCACCAAAGAGAUUCCAGUUCAGUUUGACACCGCAUUCGUCACAACCGACGACCGUUCUUUUUUUCAUCAUAAAAGUAUUUAUGAUCCCAAGUGGCCCCACUUUCAGCUCCCUUUUGUUUUACAUUCGGUGUUACAAUAAUUCAACUUCUAUUGUCAAAAGUUGAGGAAUUCAAUUUUUGAUAUGUCAGCAAAUUAGAAAAAAUUGUGAUUGUUCUUUCUAUUUAUGAAUUUGUUAUCGCCAAAAAGUUUGAAGCUUAAAAUAGUGAAAUUGAAAGUUGUGUUGUGCCGCAGUAACUCUAAUAUCUGAUUGUGCAGGUUACAAAAGUUUAAUCAUUGAAUGUGUCAAGUUUUAUCGUCAAAAACAUUCCAAAAACGAAAAUGGUAUAGCCCGUCGCAAAUUAUUAGAUGUUCUCGGCUUUUGAGCAUCCAUGCUCAAACUUACUUUUGAUGAGAAUGAUUACGAGCUUCUGAUGUGAAAUUUCAUUUAAUUUACACGUCUGAAACUAAGCGAUCCCAGAACACGUGGAUGCGUUUAUUAAUUGGUGCGAAUUCCAAUGUUAUCCUCCAAACCAUAAUUCUUGGUGAGGCUGAAACAAGAGAGUGGCUGCGGAACUGGACGAACUAGAAACUUGCGUUACAAGUGGCUUUGUUGCUAGAAGAAUUCGGUGAGUGGUUUUAUUAAAAAACAAACGAAAAAAUGAACUCGCACCUUUCCCGGCAGUCGAAAGUAAUUAACAUAGCAUUGUAAACAUAACUACGAAUUUUACGAUAUCUUGUUAAUACGAGUAGUGUAUCGUAUAUAUUUUGUUCUAGUACGCUGUUCUGUAUUGCGCGUAUAGCCCCAAAUAUUUUGCUUGAAGAAUGUGUCGAUUUAUCAAAAUUUUUUUUUGACAAAAAGGAGAAAAAAAAUAUCGUGUGCGAUGCCCAGUGGGAUUGAAUGGUAUAUGACAAUCAGUCGUUAUUGUCCAAAGUAUUUUGUACUAAUGUACUCGCACAUUUCGUCUGGGUCUCAAUAAAUCAUGUUUUAUGUGGUGGGGUUGGGCUGGGGGCUACUAAUUUUCUUGAUCCGUAUUUUUAAAGGUAUUUCAGAAGAUGAAAAACCGUACUCUGCGAUUCAAUAUUAGUAUCAUUGAAGAAAAGAAAGCUGUCAUCUGGUAAUGCACAUGAGUGCAUUACCACAUGCGCAUGCAUGAAUGUACUUGGCCAUAUCGAGCGACUUCUUUGGCGACAUUGUCGACUUUUGAAAAUGGAGCAUGCUAUGUGGUUUCGUCACCUUUAGAUGCAUCUGUAAUAUUGAGAUCGUUUGGAUUUUUGCGCGGAUACAUCGUGCGGCGAUAAGAUAUAACAGAAAGAAGGCGAGAGAAAACUAUCGACGCGCAUACCGUAAGGUCUUUUGACACGAAGAAAGUUGUUAUCUCUAUGGUGCACCGAUUUUCAUUUAUCUACUCUCGUCACGUAUCUACGUUAUGAAUUCUCUUGUUGACCAUACUCGAAGUAUUACGACGUCUAGCUACCGAAAGGAUUUGCGAGAACGAGACAAACAAAACCAAAUAUUUCACCGUCCCUUAGCCAACAAGGUACGCACUUAAGAUGUUAUAAAUGAUUCCUGUUGGAAGAAUAAUUUGGCUCACAUAUAUGAUAGACAUCAAAUCGUUGCACGAAAUUGGUCCGAUGUUUGUGGCUGAUGGCUGAAAAAUGAGGGAAAAUGAGUUUUGGAAAGUUAUGCAUUGUUUUUCCGGUGCUGGGCAACCAGCAACGAUAUUCGUUUUUUUGGCACUGUUUUAACAUAGAUAUCUCGUAAAUUCCGGAUGGAUACGGACGUCCAAAGACAAGCCAAACCAACGAAGAUCAGAUCGACCGAGUUUGGGAAAACUUUGAAGAAUUUCAAUGUUUGACGAUUUUCUCGGGCGGACUAGAAGACACCCGUAUGUUUUUAAUUCAUUUAAAGGCGAGUCCCCAUAAUUACCUAUGAAGCUAAACAAAAAAGCAACGGGACGCGGCUACAAUGUGAGGCAGCAUCGGAAACGAUAGGCGAUAUGCACGUUUUUUUCCUUCUACGAUUCCAAGUCAAGAGCGAAACGGAGGUGCACUCUCCUUUCUUGAGUAGGGUGGAUAUGAGAAAUUUAUGCGGGUACGUGGAAGAUGGAAAAUCCCUGAUGCCGAUUGACCGAAUACUGCGAAAUCCGUGAGAAAGGCGCACCUGUGCGAUUUACGUGAGUUUACAACCCUUUGCCCUUUUAUUUUUCGAUCCCUCACCUUGUGCCCGUUCUUUAACAAAGUGUUUUAGAAAACUUGCACCGAAACCUUGCACGAUAAGCUGAGAAAUAUUGUUAAGGCUCCAUAUAUCCACUUCGGAGAACACAGUAUUAUUAUCUGUGAAAGAUAACGAGAAAAAGGUUCAACGCUGGCGAUCCAAUAUACCCGAUUGCGGUCUUCUGACGGGUUUUUGGUCUUCUCAUCUUCACUCUUCAGUUCUCUUAGCAUUGGUGGGCGCCGCGAUGAAAGCACAAAAUUCCGAAUGGGACGUUUCCAGCUGCUUCGAAUUUCUUUGAGUUUCAAUGGAUUGGCUGAUUAAACGGUCUUCAAUCCUAAAAAGAAUCCUGUCUCCCAACUUUCUCAGCAGUAAAGAUCUUCCGGAUCGAUUCGGCAGGUGUUGCAGCAAUUGCAAGACUUUUCAGGGCUGAUGAUACCAAUUGAGCGUGAUCCUCGAUACGAAAAACGGAUAUUGUUCAGAGAACGGGUUAUUCAACUGUUCUGCUCUCUUUACGUUCUGCGCGAGAUGACUGCGCUCUUGUCUUUCCUUCCAAGGUUACUUUUCCGAUAAUUGCCGAAGCUUCGACCGUCAUUGCAAAUCAUCUUCCUGAUCGUCGCAUCUUGAUCUUCUUUGUCAUCUCGCGAGUCUGUGGUUUAUGUUGAGCGGCGUCUGUCGUAACGGAUGGUCUGGACCUUCGGCCUGUGUGUUUUGCGGAUUUCGUUGAUUGACAACUAAUGCUGCGUAAAAAACUUCAUUUGACUAGAAGAGACAUCGCCUCACCAAAAUCAAAAGAUUAUUUGUGCGAAACUACUCGGAGAGCUCAAUUUUCUGUUCAUCAUUAUCCUUCCUUCUGCAAAUAAAUAAACGACAAGAAGAAUACCCGGACCUUCCUGUUCCAUUCCGGAUCAAUCUGCUGAAAAAUUCUUUGUCACAAAAAAAACAUCUUUAAAGUACUUCGUACGUCCUGUUUAGAAAAAUACAUAAAAAAAAAUAUAAAAAUGAAGAAAUAUAUACACAAAAAGAUGAAAAAAAACGAAAAAACGAAUAAAAAAAUGUAAAAAAAAAUUGAAUUGAAAAAAAAAACGCUACACGUAUGAAAACAGUAAAACAUGUAUGUUCAAGGGAACAAAAAGUUACUUACAAAAAAAGCAAAAUAAAUGGAUGUGAGGAUUAGGAAAAGAUGUGGAAUGGGCUUUCAGGUACUAGAUACAAGUAAAUCGCCACCAGAAAGGAUCUCCAUGAUGGAAUACUGUCAACAAAAGUUUCGACAGUCGAAGAUUCACUAUACGCAUCUUUAACGAGAUUUUCCGGAUUCGAUUUCAACGACAAGUGAUCUUCUAGAUAGGACAUGGAGAGCUUCUGGGUUCGACUUCAACGACGAGUGAUCUUCUAUGCUGGGCAUCGACAACGAGGGAUCUUCUGAAUGAGGAACAUUAACAGCGCGGGAUCUUCUGGAUUGGACUUCAACGACGAGUGAUCUUCUAGACUGGGCAUCGACGACGAGGGAUCUUCUGAAUGGGGGACAUCAACAGCGCGGUAUCUUGUGGAUUGGACUUCAACGACGAGGGAUCUUUUGAAUGAGGGACAUCAACAGCGCGGGAUCUUCUGGAUUGGACUUAAACGACGAGCGAUCUUCUGAAUGGGGGACAUCAACAGCGCGGGAUCUUCUGGAUUGGACUUCAACGACGAGCGAUCUUUUAGACUGGGCAUCGACGACGAGGGAUCUUCUGGAUUGGACUUCAACGACGAGUGAUCUUCUAGACUGGGCAUCGACGACGAGGGAUCUUCUGAAUGGGGGACAUCAACAGCGCGGUAUCUUGUGGAUUGGACUUCAACGACGAGGGAUCUUUUGAAUGAGGGACAUCAACAGCGCGGGAUCUUCUGGAUUGGACUUAAACGACGAGCGAUCUUCUGAAUGGGGGACAUCAACAGCGCGGGAUCUUCUGGAUUGGACUUCAACGACGAGUGAUCUUCUAUACUGGGCAUCGACGACGAGAGAUCUUCUGAAUGGGGGACAUCAACAGCGCGGGAUCUUGUGGAUUGGACUUCAACGACGAGCGAUCUUCUAGACUGGACAUCGACGACGAGGGUUCUUCUGGACGGGAUACAUCGACCGCAAGGGAUCUUCUCAACUGGGGACAUUGACGGCGAGGGAUUGUCUGGACGGGCGACAUCGACGACGCUGGAUUUUUCGAUGGGGGACAUCGACGCCGCGCAAGAUUUCUUAGAAUUUCUGGUCUAGACAUCGAUGACUCGAGAAUUCCAGAAUCGGAAAUCGACGAUGCGGCUGUUUCAGGAUUGGACAUCAAGGAUCUAAAAACGGACAUAAAGGACUUUAUUAGUUUGAAUACCGGUGAUGGAAACUUCCCGAACGGGCAGCGUUCCGCAAAUCUUAUGGAUUCAAUGACAACUUUGUCCGUUCAAAAUCGACUACAAGGAUAUCUCAGCUUCUCGGAUUAAACAGUUAUAGAACCGAAUUAUUGUUCUCGAUAACGUAUAUCGACACGGAACUUAAUAGGAUAGCUGAUCUGAGACGGACCAUCACCAAACUUUGCGGAAUUUUUUUUUGUUCUGAGGAGAAAGCCAAUGAUGAGGAACAGGACGAUCAUCAUGAGCAUUUCAUGGAUCGUAGAUUGGCCGUAGAUUUUUCCAAAGCUUCGUUCUCGAAUUGAUCUACUGUAAUAUAAAUUCAAAUUCUCUAAUAUGUUAAAAAUCCAUGUCUGCAUUCAUGAUAUUGGAUUGGAGAAAAAAAAAUAGAAAAUGAAAAAAAAAAACAAAGGAAAAAAAUUAAAAUUAAAAAAAAGAAAGAGUGAAAAAAAAAUAAAAUACAUGAAGUGUAACUAAAAUUUGAGAAAUAACGUAGAAUUCAAUCAAAAAAUGGCAUGGCAAAUAAUGGAAAUAAGUGUUAAACGAAAAAAUUGGAAAUUUUACAGAAAAAACUACACUCGAGCAAAAAAUAUGAGCAAAAAGAGAUUUUCUCAGGGGAGGUUUUCAGAUGUGAAGAAAGAAAACUUCGCAAAAAAGAAUUUUAUAUAACGAGUUUUCCAACUAAAAUGACAGUGAACAUGACGUGUGAUGUCAACUCUUCUGGACGACAACGUGGGAUUCAAACUCUGAAAUAUUAACGUGGAAUUUUGGACUCUUGGAUAUCUUUACCAUUGGACGCUAUUUUACUGUAAUCUUCUUAAACAGAAAGCGUUUGAAACUUUAAUAGCAUGAGAAUCUCUAACAUUGGGAAUCAAUUUCCAAUUUUGAUAUCGACGUGACAGCGAAGUGGACGUUAAUUGAACAGAAAAAAACUUGUAUUUUUUACUUUUAAAAUUUGUACGUGACAAAUUGCGACCUCAAAUUGACGACAAUGAAGAAUCUGAAAUUUCCUCCUAAAUCGAACACCAUUACGGGAUUCGGCUGAAAUAAUGGUACUGGAUUAUUCGAUCGGGACUGCGACGAGGGACUCUGACGAGACGGCGGCGUGGGACUCGAACGGGACGGCGGCGAGGGACUCUGACGGGACGGCGGCGAGGGACUCGGACGGGACGGCGGCGAGGGACUCGGACGGGACGGCGGCGAGGGACUCGGACGGGUCGGCGGCGAGGGACUCGGACGGGACGGCGGCGAGGGACUCGGACGGGACGGCGGCGAGGGACUCGGACGGGACGGCGGCGAGGGAUUCGGACGGGACGGCGAUGAGGGACUCGGACGACAACAAAGAAUUUUACAAAUGUUUGAAAAUCUAGCUUUAUCAUGGAAUAGGUAUCAUAUGUACCUAUUCCAAUCAAAUUACUUCGAACCAGCUUGAACUUUUUGCAACCCGUCAAUCAAAUUAUAAGCUGAACUCGACGUGCGUUUGAAAAAAAGUUGGAAAUUAUUUUUUAUUAUUAUUUGAUAGAAUUAUGUAAAUGAAAAUUCGACAAAAAAAAUCAUUCAUAUGAUUAAUAUGUCAAAUUCAUCGACUAUGUAUGACAAAAUAAAUGCACAAUUUUAUAUCUGGGAGCAUGAGAAUGAAUAAAAAUGAUACCAACUAUACAUAAA